GGUUCUAGAAGUGUUGAGAGAUGGGGCAUGAUUAGAAGAGAGAGUUCACUGAGACUCAGACUUUGAAGGUUCUCUGUAGUCUCCAGUUCCAUCAUGGCUCUGAUUCCGCUUCAUUUCGAGCGCACAGAAGUCUGAGACUGGAGCCACAGAGCGAACUAGCUGGAUCUGUGAGCUCUGGAUCGACUGAGAGACCCUGUCUCUGGCCUGGAGAUGGCUCAGUGGGUCGUGACACUCACUGCCAGAGUUUGACCCAGGAACCCACAUGGAAGGGAGACUUUGCUUCGGGCUCUCAGCAUCCAGGCCCAUCUGUUGCACAGGGGCUGCUACUCAAGUAGUCCGGAGAGACAAGCGGGGAGGACCAGCCGAGGCCGCCCGGAGAGACAAGCGGGGAGGAGCAGCCGAGGCCGCCCGGAGAGAGACAAGCGGGGAGGACCAGCCGAGGCCACCGAUGGAUGAGAAGCGAGAACAAGUGGGACACUUGUGCGACUGAGCACCCUCAUCUGCUGCAGUUGGAUAGUUGGACUAUUCUUGCCCCUCAUUCAGAAACACACAACACUGAUUCCAGCCCUGAAAAAUGAAAAGACGUGUAGGAGGUAACCAUAGAGAUGGAAAUUUUUAAAAAAGCACAGAGAAGUCAAGGUAAGAAGAAUAGCAGGUGUGGAGGAAGAAAAUGAAACAAAAUAGAUGCUUCGAAGCUCUGUGAACUUAACCCUCAGCUACUGGCAUUCAUGCCUGUGCCAAUCCACCCAUGUAAUUCAGUUUUAAACCGUUCUGAAUCUAGUUAAUACAAAGUUUACAGAGGAAGAGAAAAAUAUUAGCAAUAUUUCAAAAUGACUGGUCUACAGACACUCACAGAGAAGGGGUUGCAUUGGCUGGAAUAUGAGGCUGAAAAGGAGAAGCCAGGACAAUUUCAGUUCCUAUGCAAUGGAGCACCAGCAAAGCUCAGAGACCAUUGUAUGGCUUCCUUUAGAAAUAAGUAUUAGGGCUGGGAACACUGCUCAGUGGUAGAGUACCUGCCUAGAAUCCCCCAGUGAGGGGCUGGGGUGUGGCUCAGUGGUAGAGCACCUGCCUAGAAUCCCCCAGUGAGGGGCUGGGGUGUGGCUCAGUGGUAGAGCACCUGCCUAGAAUCCCCCAGUGAGGGGCUGGGGUGUGACUCAGGGGUAGAGUGCUUGUCAGCCAUUCAUAAAAGCCUGAGUUCAUUCUCAGCAUUACCAAAAUGACAAAAGACUUAGUGAGCCAAACCAGGCUGAGAAGAAUGCCAAAGACAGACUCCAUCUCUGUGGUUUCUGAUAGGGAGCCAUACUCAAGGAAGGUGUGAAACGACCAAGGCAGGAAAUAUUAGGAAUUCCACUUGUACUGACUUCAGUUGAACAUAUUUAUCUGUAUACAGAAAGAGGAUAAGGAUAAAUAAUUAUCAUAUGACAAAAACCUGGAGAUGACUGCUGGGUUAUGGAAAGCAGGUUUGGUGACACAUCUGUAAUCCCAGCACUGGGGAGGUGGAGAUCCGGGACAGUGAGGCCAACCCAGGUCCUCUGCAAGAACAGCAAGUGCUCUUAGUUACUGAGCUGUCUCUACAGCCCUGAGCCAAACUGUCUUGAACUACGUAUAUGCUCCAGUCACGGAGGCUGUGUUGUAAGAACCACAUCCCGCCCCCCAUUUCUAUGUGUUUUAUUCCAUUGUAAUAAUGAUUAUCAUGAAUGGUUUCACAGA
This is a long non-coding RNA of Peromyscus maniculatus bairdii (prairie deer mouse), 1710 nucleotides long. RefSeq lists it as uncharacterized. NCBI's taxonomy places the organism in Eukaryota, Metazoa, Chordata, Mammalia, Rodentia, Cricetidae. The record is from RefSeq and is a predicted model, not a curated record.